Molecule: long non-coding RNA, 2779 nt
Filed under: Sus scrofa (pig)
Lineage: Eukaryota; Metazoa; Chordata; Mammalia; Artiodactyla; Suidae
Description: lncRNA (ENSSSCG00035068086.1)
Source: RNAcentral
AUCUUGCGGGACGUGGACGCAAGAAAAAGGAGAGUGAGCCGGAGCCGGAGUUGGCAGGCGUGGAGUGUAGGCCGGACGGCGGCGCCGGGCGGAGGCGGUGAGGCAGCUACCUUGGUCAGUGACCACCUUGCAGUAUGUUGAGUCAAGUCUGCCGCUCUGGGUUCCAGUCCUUCACCCAGCAUCUCCUGCCCUGGGUCCAAUCCACCACACUCUCCAGAUCCGAUUUUUCUGGAGCCUGGAGCCCGCAUGUUCACUGACCAUGAUAAACAGAAGAGCAGAAAAGAAAUAAACAGGCAGAGUGAGAAGCAUAUAGAUUCAAACAGAGGGCAGUGGAAGGCCAGGAGGGGAGAUAGAAACCAUGUCAGGAUCCCUUCCUGUUUAGACCUGGAACACGGCCUCAUUGAUUGCUGAGUAUAAGGAUUCUGAUUCUGAAAAGGUCAAGGGCUUCUCCUCCCUUGGAGUGUGUGUGGCACUUUUGAGGAAUAUGAACAGCCCUCCCCCAUCACGAAUGCACACAUGUACACCUGAGUAUCCCUUCAUGUAUAAACAGGAGGUGCCUUUUCAUUGAGACUUAGAGUUUCCUUAGAAGAUAGGAAGAGAUUACCCAUCCAGAAGCCUUGGAUUUUUCCUAAAUAAUCAAGGCUUUUUCAGUCCUUCAUAUGGACCCUAAAAAGUAUACUACCCGACAGAACAGAAGAAAUGCCCUCAAGAGAGGUAGGGUCAAUCUGAGGGGGUGAAAGUAUUGUUGAAUAGAAAAUCCAGAAGAGCCCUGGACCCCAAAAAACUCUUCUUGGUAUGAUACACACUGAAUGUGACUGAGAUUUUACUUGCUUAAAACUUUGUUCAUAGAUGUGGCCUCUUCUUGAACUGUAUCAGCUCUGAUCUGAUAUGACCUGGUUGCCUGCCACCAGAAUAACCCUUGACUGCCUGGCAUCAGGCCAUGCCGCCUUUCUGUGCUGAUAUAGACCGUGGAUCAGGAGUCUCAUUCAUGCUCACCUGGCCUGUUCGAUUCUAAUUGGUUUGAUCACCUGGACUGACCUGCUUGCCAUCAUCUGUGUCCCUGAGGUGCCCUCUCAGGCUGCCGCACCCAUGGUCAGUACUUUUGCAGGCCAGGACAUUCCCUGCAGUGCACAGGAGAGAAAAGUGACCAGCAGGCCUUGUCCUGACAGCUGUCAAAGAGAUGUAUGAUAUUUCUGCAUACAGCCAGUGAUGAUUACAGGUCCAGACUCCAGGGGAGUAAGUCUUUCCCUCUACCAUCCCUCCCUCCACCAGGUCAGCGUGGCCAAAAACAUUAUGUGUAACUUUUAAACUUAGACUUAGGUAUAUUCAUUGCAUAGGCUGAUACCCCUGAAGACUGAGCCAGCAUAUCUAUAUUGAUCAACCUAAUGAAGAAAGAGAGCUCUUCACCGAACAGCCCAGCCCCUCAGUCUCUGGGACUCCUCCAGCAGGAACGAGUCUAGCAAAGGUGCCAAGCUCCAGUUCUAUCCCAGAUGAUGGAUUUACUGAGCAGCUCUCUGCCUGUUGUGAAAAAAGAUCAUGUCGUCUUUCUUGUAUCUCCAACACACUUGAAACACAGUCAUUUAAAGAAAAGAUUAUUUAAUAGAGGGAAGAAAGAACCCUUCAUGACUUUGUUUAAGAUGUUCUUUCUCAGAUUUGUGUGUGAAGGAGGCAGAGAGGGAAGAGAACACACAGUGAAUCUUCUGGUUCACGAGAAUAGGACUCUACCAGCUUUACCACCUUUCUUUUUUUCCUUGGCUGUACCUGCAGCAUGGGGAAGGUCCCAGGCCAGGGAUUAGACCCAUUCCACAGCCGUAACCAGAGCCACAGCAGUGACAAUGCCAGAUCCUUAACCUUCUGAGCCACAAGGGAACUCCUACCCACCGUUUUUGUAGCAGAGAGAGAGACAAUGGAUGCUGUGUUACAGUUAGAGGAGUCAGUUAUCAGGAGAUAGAGGCACUGGGUAGAGAAAUUCUGAGAAAGCUGUCUGUAAAUAUAAAGGGAGGUGAUAAUGGUUGACUCAAGUGGAAGAAAAGUUACUCUGUGAUAGUGCAAUUAUAGAAUGGCAGCUUGGAAAGAUUAUGUUGUAAUUCCUUUCAGUAUUUAUUAGCGCCUGUAGUGAUACAUAGGUAACGCCUUGUGGGGGGAAGAACCUAAAGUUUUGUCCUGCAGAGAACAGAGAAUCAGGGAAUCCCACCAAGAAGUCCAUUUACUGUGAGUAAGACCACCCGUUAAAGCUACUGUCCUCAGGAAUUCCCUUCGUGGCUCAGCAGUUGACGAACCUGACUGGCAUCCAUGAGGAUGCAGGUUCAAUCCCUGGCCUCGCUCAGCAGGUUAAGGAUUCAGUGUUGCCAUCAGCUGUGGUGUAGGUCGCAGACGCAGUUUGGAUCCCAUGUUGCUGUGGCUCUGGCAUAGACUGGCAGCUCCAACUCUAAUUGGAUCCCUAGCCUGGGAACCUCCAUAUGCUGUAGGUGUGGCCGUAAAAAGACAUAGAAAAAAAAAAAGCUGACGUCCUCAGUCAGCCUCUCCUCUCCUUUCCAGGCCUCACCUGUCCCUCUACCUGUGCACUCAUCUUCCCCUAUCACUUAUGAUUGCAAGUAACAGAAAAGCCCAAAAAAUAAUGGCUCAACAAGAUCGACAUUUGGAGUUCCCUGGUGGCUUAGUGGGUUAAGGAUCUGUCACUGCUGUGGCUCAGUUUGCUGCUGUGGUAUGGGUUUUUCCGUGGCCUCGGAACUUCUACAUGCCCCAGGAGCAACCAAAAAAAAAAAAAAAAAAAAAAAAA